UACGGGGGGAGCAAGCGUUGUUCGGAUUUACUGGGCGUAAAGGGCGCGUAGGCGGUCAGCACAAGUCAGUUGUGAAAUCUCCGGGCUUAACUCGGAAAGGUCAACUGAUACUGUGCGACUAGAGUGCAGAAGGGGCAACUGGAAUUCUCGGUGUAGCGGUGAAAUGCGUAGAUAUCAGGAAGAACACCGGUGGCGAAAGCGCUCUGCUAGGCCGCAACUGACACUGAGAGACGAAAGCUAGGGGAGCGAAUGGG
RNAcentral lists this ribosomal RNA (254 nucleotides) under uncultured bacterium. RNAcentral describes it as "partial 16S ribosomal RNA". It matches the Rfam family "Bacterial small subunit ribosomal RNA", at positions 524 to 776 of the family's 1533-position model. The record is from RNAcentral.